This 460-nucleotide ribosomal RNA is filed under the name uncultured bacterium. RNAcentral describes it as "bacterial SSU rRNA". It matches the Rfam family "Bacterial small subunit ribosomal RNA", at positions 1028 to 1501 of the family's 1533-position model. The record is from RNAcentral.
GCGCGCACAGGUGCUGCAUGGCUGUCGUCAGCUCGUGCCGUGAGGUGUUAGGUUAAGUCCUGUAACGAGCGCAACCCCUGCCCCUAGUUACACGUGUCUAGGGGGACCGCCUGGGCAACUGGGAGGAAGGUGGGGAUGACGUCAAGUCAGCAUGGCCUGGAUGUCCUGGGCGACACACACGCUACAAUGGCCGGUACAAUGGGCAGCCAACCCGCGAGGGGGAGCCAAUCCCAUCAAAGCCGGUCUCAGUUGGGAUUGGGGGCUGCAACCCGCCCCCAUGAACGCGGAGUUGCUAGUAACCGCGCAUCAGCCAUGGUGCGGUGAAUACGUUCCCGGGCCUUGUACACACCGCCCGUCACGUCAUGGGAGCUGGCAACACCUGAAGCCGGUGGGCCAACCGCAAGGAGGCAGCCGUCGAGGGCGGGGCCGGUGACUGGGACGAAGUCGUAACAAGGUAGCC